GGGGGCGACCGGUUUCGACGGGACAGGAGUUCUUUAGAACGGCAUGCAGAGGUCCCAGGGUCCUCUUAAAUCAACCUGGAAAUACCAUAAAUGCCGAUUACGGCUACAUGGCAGCAGCUUAAGUAAUUAAGCAAUAAAGUUGCCCGUCCUGAGUCAGUUCCGCCUGUGGGCAGGCUCAAGGGCGUCGAUUACACGGGCUGGGUAUGUUGAGCGCCUGAUCCGACAUACUGAGAAUUCUUCAGGCUUCGGUUGAAAUGCGUGGGUCCCUGGAUCGCAUUUCAGCAACACUUAACCAGGCGACUAAGCAUGUAGAAGAUCUUUUGAAACUUGUUUCGGACGGGAGUUCGAAUCUCCCCGCCUCCACUU
RNAcentral lists this transfer-messenger RNA (366 nucleotides) under bacterium. RNAcentral's name for it is "JAAZYX01 sp018651745 Standard tmRNA". It matches the Rfam family "transfer-messenger RNA". Rfam says of the family: Bacterial tmRNA, also known as 10Sa RNA or SsrA, is named for its dual tRNA and mRNA-like properties. The record is from RNAcentral. RNAcentral also lists the same sequence under 1 other name.